This 253-nucleotide ribosomal RNA is filed under the name uncultured Gardnerella sp. RNAcentral's name for it is "partial 16S ribosomal RNA". It matches the Rfam family "Bacterial small subunit ribosomal RNA", at positions 100 to 355 of the family's 1533-position model. Lineage: Bacteria; Bacillati; Actinomycetota; Actinomycetes; Bifidobacteriales; Bifidobacteriaceae. The record is from RNAcentral.
CGGGUAGAGUAAUGCGUGACCAACCUGCCCCAUGCUCCAGAAUAGCUCUUGGAAACGGGUGGUAAUGCUGGAUGCUCCAACUUGACGCAUGUCUUGUUGGGAAAGUGUUUAGUGGCAUGGGAUGGGGUCGCGUCCUAUCAGCUUGUAGGCGGGGUAAUGGCCCACCUAGGCUUCGACGGGUAGCCGGCCUGAGAGGGCGGACGGCCACAUUGGGACUGAGAUACGGCCCAGACUCCUACGGGAGGCAGCAGCC